RNAcentral lists this ribosomal RNA (468 nucleotides) under uncultured bacterium. RNAcentral describes it as "partial 16S ribosomal RNA". It matches the Rfam family "Bacterial small subunit ribosomal RNA", at positions 28 to 507 of the family's 1533-position model. The record is from RNAcentral.
GACGAACGCUGGCGGCGUGCUUAACACAUGCAAGUCGAACGGAAAGGCCCUGCUUUUGUGGGGUGCUCGAGUGGCGAACGGGUGAGUAACACGUGAGUAACCUGCCCUUGACUUUGGGAUAACUUCAGGAAACUGGGGCUAAUACCGGAUAGGAGCUCCUGCUGCAUGGUGGGGGUUGGAAAGUUUCGGCGGUUGGGGAUGGACUCGCGGCUUAUCAGCUUGUUGGUGGGGUAGUGGCUUACCAAGGCUUUGACGGGUAGCCGGCCUGAGAGGGUGAUCGGCCACAUUGGGACGGAGAUACGGCCCAGACUCCUACGGGAGGCAGCAGUGGGGAAUAUUGCACAAUGGGCGGAAGCCUGAUGCAGCAACGCCGCGUGCGGGAUGACGGCCUUCGGGUUGUAAACCGCUUUCGCCUGUGACGAAGCGUGAGUGACGGUAAUGGGUAAAGAAGCACCGGCUAACUACGUG